This 519-nucleotide long non-coding RNA is filed under the name Sus scrofa (pig). Its description in RNAcentral is "lncRNA (ENSSSCG00025044161.1, ENSSSCG00045002805.1, ENSSSCG00055015061.1)". Lineage: Eukaryota; Metazoa; Chordata; Mammalia; Artiodactyla; Suidae. The record is from RNAcentral.
CUAAGCAGGGUGUGUGGGUGUGUUUCACAUCAAUGAAUGGUAUCUCCUGAUUUGUAUGAGUUGGUCCUAAAAGCAGUUCCUUUUUCGAGCUGUGCAGUGUCUUCCUAGGAGUCUAGACCCACACCAGAAGUUCAAUGUCAUCGCAUCUGUAAAGCUCAACUCUGGCUCCUGGGGCGCGACAUUCAGGUCACGCUGAGGUUUGGACCGAGACGACGUUGGCACCAGGCCGGCAAUAUUGGGGCCCUGAUGACCUGUCCUGUAGUUAUCAUCUCAGAGUGCAACCAGAACCGGAGGCCAGAAUCAGACAACCUAGUGAGUUUCCAGGUACAAAUAGCUAAGAGUUGAUUUAUUCUGUGCUUUUUAGUUUUUACGUUACCCCAUCUCCAUAUUCUGGGUUAAGUGGGCAAGGACUUCCUCUAUCGGCAGGAACCCAAGUCCUCGCCAUCCCAUGUGCCAAGGUGGGUCACUUUCACCAGGUCCCCAGGUGCCAACAGAGGCAGCCUGCCCCACCCUCUCCAC